AUGCAGGAAAAUGGUGUGAAUUGUGGUGUUGUAGAGUGGGUUGAUGGGCCUUGGCCAACUGUUCUUCAGAGAUGUCUGUGCAAGCUAUGGGACAUGUUCCAUGAGCAGAACUUUGGAAGGGUACAGGACAAGGAGAAGUUUGAGAAGGAGUUGGCCAGGCUUAAGACUGAAAAUGACAAGCUUUGCAUUGAGUACACCAAGCUUGUUGAUGAUGUAUCCAAGAUGUUUGAUUGGCAGGAUGGUAGGGUGGACAAGAAGGUGUACCAGAAACAAGUGGAGGAGGAAGAACUUGAGAAGAAGAAGAAGGAGCUAGAGGAGAAAGCUAUGUUGGAGGUGCAGAUGGAAAAGCUCAAACUUGUAAAAGAGCAGAGGUGCAUUUUGCAGAGCCAAGAUGAUAUCAUCAAGAACACCAGGAAGGCUAUGAAGGCUGUUGAAGUUGACAGAGAUGUUCUUAAGAAGGAGAAGGCAAAGCUUGAGCUUGUUGUUGCUGAGCUGCUGAAAGAAGGGUAUGGCAGCAAGGAGAAGUUAGAGCAAAUCAAGGUCAUCCUUGAGUCUUAA
This 558-nucleotide ribosomal RNA is filed under the name Triticum aestivum (bread wheat). Its description in RNAcentral is "partial small subunit ribosomal RNA". Lineage: Eukaryota; Viridiplantae; Streptophyta; Magnoliopsida; Poales; Poaceae. The record is from RNAcentral.